Molecule: ribosomal RNA, 379 nt
Filed under: uncultured bacterium
Lineage: Bacteria
Description: bacterial SSU rRNA
Rfam family: Bacterial small subunit ribosomal RNA
Source: RNAcentral
UAACACGUAGGGGGCGAGCGUUGUCCGGAUUUAUUGGGCGUAAAGAGCUCGUAGGCGGCUCAGUAAGUCAGGUGUGAAACCUCCAGGCUCAACCUGGAGACGCCACCUGAUACUGCUGUGGCUUGAAUCUGGUAGGGGAGUGUGGAAUUCCCGGUGUAGCGGUGAAAUGCGCAGAUAUCGGGAGGAACACCAGUGGCGAAGGCGGCACUCUGGGCCAGUAUUGACGCUGAGGAGCGAAAGCGUGGGGAGCGAACAGGAUUAGAUACCCUGGUAGUCCACGCCGUAAACGUUGGGCACUAGGUGUGGGUCCUUACCAACGGGAUCUGUGCCGUAGCUAACGCAUUAAGUGCCCCGCCUGGGGAGUACGGCCGCAAGGCUA